Molecule: ribosomal RNA, 975 nt
Filed under: Enterococcus faecium
Lineage: Bacteria; Bacillati; Bacillota; Bacilli; Lactobacillales; Enterococcaceae
Description: partial 23S ribosomal RNA
Rfam family: Bacterial large subunit ribosomal RNA
Source: RNAcentral
GGGGAACCCAACAUCUUUAAUAGGAUGUUACGAUUGUGUGAAUACAUAGCACAUUCGAGGUAGACGCAGAGAACUGAAACAUCUAAGUACCUGCAGGAAGAGAAAGAAAAUUCGAUUCCCUGAGUAGCGGCGAGCGAAACGGGAAAAGCCCAAACCAGCAAGCUUGCUUGUUGGGGUUGUAGGACUCCAAUAUGGUAGUUCUUUCAGAUAGUCGAAUGACUUGGAAAAGUCAGUCAAAGAGGGUAAAAACCCCGUAGACGAAAUGUGGAAGACACCUAGGAGGAUCCUGAGUACGGCGGAACACGAGAAAUUCCGUCGGAAUCCGGGAGGACCAUCUCCCAAGGCUAAAUACUCCCUAGUGACCGAUAGUGAACCAGUACCGUGAGGGAAAGGUGAAAAGCACCCCGGAAGGGGAGUGAAAUAGAACCUGAAACCGUGUGCCUACAACAAGUCAAAGCCCGUUAAUGGGUGAUGGCGUGCCUUUUGUAGAAUGAACCGGCGAGUUACGAUUGCAUGCGAGGUUAAGUUGAAGAGACGGAGCCGCAGCGAAAGCGAGUCUGAAUAGGGCGUUUGAGUAUGUAGUCGUAGACCCGAAACCAUGUGAUCUACCCAUGUCCAGGUUGAAGGUGCGGUAAAACGCACUGGAGGACCGAACCCACGUACGUUGAAAAGUGCGGGGAUGAGGUGUGGGUAGCGGAGAAAUUCCAAACGAACUUGGAGAUAGCUGGUUCUCUCCGAAAUAGCUUUAGGGCUAGCCUCGGAAUUGAGAAUGAUGGAGGUAGAGCACUGUUUGGACUAGGGGCCCAUCUCGGGUUACCGAAUUCAGAUAAACUCCGAAUGCCAUUCAUUCAUAUCCGGGAGUCAGACUGUGAGUGAUAAGAUCCAUAGUCGAAAGGGAAACAGCCCAGACCACCAGCUAAGGUCCCAAAAUAUAUGUUAAGUGGAAAAGGAUGUGGGGUUGCACAGACAACUAGG